This 253-nucleotide ribosomal RNA is filed under the name uncultured bacterium. RNAcentral's name for it is "partial 16S ribosomal RNA". It matches the Rfam family "Bacterial small subunit ribosomal RNA", at positions 524 to 776 of the family's 1533-position model. The record is from RNAcentral.
UACGGGGGGGGCAAGCGUUGUUCGGAAUUACUGGGCGUAAAGGGCUCGUAGGUGGCCAACUCAGUCAGACGUGAAAUCCCUCGGCUUAACCGGGGAACUGCGUCUGAUACUGGUUGGCUUGAGGUUGGGAGAGGGAUGCGGAAUUCCAGGUGUAGCGGUGAAAUGCGCAGAUAUCAGGAGGAACACCGAUGGCGAAGGCAGCUCGCUGGGACGGUACUGACGCUGAGACGCGAAAGCGUGGGGAGCAAACAGG